UACAGAGGGUGCGAGCGUUGUUCGGAAUUAUUGGGCGUAAAGGGCGCGUAGGCGGAUGUUUAAGUCAGAGGUGAAAGCCCAGGGCUCAACCUUGGAAUAGCCUUUGAUACUGGACAUCUUGAGUACGGGAGAGGUGAGUGGAACUCCGAGUGUAGAGGUGAAAUUCGUAGAUAUUCGGAAGAACACCAGUGGCGAAGGCGACUCACUGGCCCGUUACUGACGCUGAGGCGCGAAAGCGUGGGGAGCAAACAGG
This 253-nucleotide ribosomal RNA is filed under the name uncultured prokaryote. RNAcentral describes it as "partial 16S ribosomal RNA". It matches the Rfam family "Bacterial small subunit ribosomal RNA", at positions 524 to 776 of the family's 1533-position model. The record is from RNAcentral.